UACGUAGGUGGCAAGCGUUGUUCGGAAUUACUGGGCGUAAAGCGUGCGCAGGCGGUUAUUUAAGUCAGGUGUGAAAGCCCUGGGCUUAACCUAGGAAUUGCGCUUGAGACUGGAUAGCUUGGAGUGCGGCAGAGGGAGGUGGAAUUCCACGUGUAGCAGUGAAAUGCGUAGAGAUGUGGAGGAACACCGAUGGCGAAGGCAGCCUCCUGGGCCAGCACUGACGCUCAUGCACGAAAGCGUGGGGAGCAAACAGG
This 254-nucleotide ribosomal RNA is filed under the name uncultured bacterium. RNAcentral's name for it is "partial 16S ribosomal RNA". It matches the Rfam family "Bacterial small subunit ribosomal RNA", at positions 524 to 776 of the family's 1533-position model. The record is from RNAcentral.